Perca flavescens (yellow perch) is the source of this 464-nucleotide non-coding RNA. NCBI's taxonomy places the organism in Eukaryota, Metazoa, Chordata, Actinopteri, Perciformes, Percidae. The record is from the annotation of a RefSeq genome assembly.
AUGUCUGCUGAGGGGAAGGCCACGCUCAUGUGCCUGGCCAACAAGGGCUUCCCCUCAGACUGGAGUCUGGCCUGGAAGGUGGACGGCAGCAGCAGCAGCAGCAGCUGGGAGGAGAGCAGGAGCCCCGGGGUGCUGGGGAAGGACGGCAAAUACAGCUGGAGCAGCACCCUGAGGCUCCCUAAAGACCAGUGGGAGAAGGUGGGCUCUGUGACCUGUGAGGCCACCCAGGGCUCCCAGACUCCACUCUCAGAGACACUGAGGAGAGACCAGUGUUCCCAGUCCUGACCUGACUCACUGGGACUCUGCUACUGGUUUCACUCUGAUACUGAUCUCAGUCUGCUCUCUUCUACUCUCUCUCUGUUUAUCUCUUUCCCUCACUCACUGUCUAAUUACAUGUUUCAUUGAUAAAGUGUGUUGCAUGUCAAUUUUGAUUAUUUUAACACAAUAAAAUACUCUUCAUCGAA